UACGGUUUUAUCACGUUGAAACACCAGUUCCCGUACGAUCAGAAAAGUUAAGCAACGUCGAGCCUGGUCAAUUUCUAGAUGGGUGACCGCUUGGGAAUACCAGGUGCUGUAAG
Molecule: non-coding RNA, 113 nt
Organism: Acanthosepion pharaonis
Lineage: Eukaryota; Metazoa; Mollusca; Cephalopoda; Sepiida; Sepiidae
Source: the annotation of a GenBank genome assembly